Molecule: small nuclear RNA, 104 nt
Organism: Choloepus didactylus (southern two-toed sloth)
Lineage: Eukaryota; Metazoa; Chordata; Mammalia; Pilosa; Megalonychidae
Source: RefSeq, a predicted model, not a curated record
GUCCUCCCUUUGGCAGCACAUAUACUAAAAUUGGAACAACACAGAGAUUAGCACGGUCCCUGUACAAGGAUGACACACACAUUGGUAAAGCAUUGCAUAUUUUU